This is a non-coding RNA of Equus caballus (horse), 74 nucleotides long. The record is from Rfam. NCBI's taxonomy places the organism in Eukaryota, Metazoa, Chordata, Mammalia, Perissodactyla, Equidae.
GGCCGGUUAGCUUAGUUGGUUGGAGCAUGGUGCUAAUAACACAAAGGUCGCGGGUUCGAUCCCCGUAUAGGCCA